RNAcentral lists this ribosomal RNA (253 nucleotides) under uncultured bacterium. RNAcentral describes it as "partial 16S ribosomal RNA". It matches the Rfam family "Bacterial small subunit ribosomal RNA", at positions 524 to 776 of the family's 1533-position model. The record is from RNAcentral.
UACAGAGGUGGCAAGCGUUGUUCGGAAUUACUGGGCGUAAAGGGCGCGUAGGCGGUUCGAUAAGUCCCGUGUGAAAUCCCUCGGCUCAACUGAGGAACUGCACGGGAAACUGGCGGGCUUGAGUUCGGGAGAGGGAAGCGGAAUUCCGGGUGUAGCGGUGAAAUGCGUAGAUAUCCGGAGGAACACCGGUGGCGAAGGCGGCUUCCUGGACCGACACUGACGCUGAGGCGCGAAAGCUAGGGGAGCAAACGGG